This 260-nucleotide ribosomal RNA is filed under the name uncultured bacterium. Its description in RNAcentral is "partial 16S ribosomal RNA". It matches the Rfam family "Bacterial small subunit ribosomal RNA", at positions 526 to 779 of the family's 1533-position model. The record is from RNAcentral.
CGUAGGGUGCGAGCGUUGUCCGGAAUUAUUGGGCGUAAAAGAGCUUGUAGGCGGUUUUGUCGCGUCUGCCGUGAAAAUCCGGGGGCUCAACUCCGGACUUGCGGUGGGUACGGGCAGACUAGAGUGUGGUAGGGGAGACUGGAAUUCCUGGGUGUAGCGGUGAAAAUGCGCAGAUAUCAGGAGGAACACCGAUGGCGAAGGCAGGUCUCUGGGGCCACUACUGACGCUGAGAAGCGAAAGCGUGGGGAGCGAACAGGAUU